Molecule: long non-coding RNA, 207 nt
Organism: Pieris napi
Lineage: Eukaryota; Metazoa; Arthropoda; Insecta; Lepidoptera; Pieridae
Exons: 3
Source: RefSeq, a predicted model, not a curated record
GUUUGAUUGACGUUUGAUUUAAUAAUUCUGAUACAACUCAUAAUUCUAAUCUAAUAGAAACUCCAAAACCUCAGACAAAGAGGACUAGAAUUUUACAUAAAAAGCCGCGUUCUGCAGUACAAAAGUUAGAAGAGGCAUCUCAAAUAGUGGAAAGUGCCAAACUCCGCAACACGGUAGUGUUCCAGUGUUUCCAGGAAGAGCACGAAA